RNAcentral lists this unclassified non-coding RNA (358 nucleotides) under Hevea brasiliensis (rubber tree). The record is from RNAcentral. Lineage: Eukaryota; Viridiplantae; Streptophyta; Magnoliopsida; Malpighiales; Euphorbiaceae.
GGGACUUCUACGCUCAACCUCAACCUAGAAUUGGGCUCUACAGUCUCCGUGACAUUAAUGUCUGCUGGAAGCCGGUCUUUCUCAGGUCCAACAGCCACGUAAGAAGAAGAAGAAGCAGCUGACGCUGUGGAUUUACGAGAACAUUUAGGGAUUGCUGGACAAUGGGCUUGGCGGGAAAAUGAUGGUAGUUUGAGAAAAUUAAAGUAAUUCUUCUUCUUGUUGUUGAAUUGGAGAAACUGCGUUUUGAGGGUAGCGGAAAGAGAGCUUUUGCCCAGAAAUUGUGGUGCCUGUUGGCUCCAAUUUAGAAGCGCUCUGGACCUGAUACAAAGCUCCAUGGCUGUUAGUCUCUGAACUUAGC